AGCAGCCGCGGUAAUUCCAGCUCCAAUAGCGUAUAUUAAAGUUGUUGCAGUUAAAAAGCUCGUAGUUGAAUUUCGGGAUCAAUACGUCGGUCGUGCCUCCGGUACGUACUGGUGUUGUUGAUUUCUCCCUUCUGAUGAACCACGAUGUCAUUAAUUUGGUGUUGUGGGGAGUCAGGACUGUUACUUUGAAAAAUUAGAGUGUUUAAAGCAGGCAAACGCUUGAAUACAUUAGCAUGGAAUAAUGAAAUAGGACGUUCGAACCUAUUUUGUUGGUUUCUAGGAUCAACGUAAUGAUUAAUAGGGAUAGUUGGGGGCAUUAGUAUUCAAUUGUCAGAGGUGAAAUUCUUGGAUUUAUUGAAGACUAACUACUGCGAAAGCAUUUGCCAAGGAUGUUUUCAUUAAUCAAGAACGAAAGUUAGGGGAUCGAAGACGAUCAGAUACCGUCGUAGUCUUAACCAUAAACUAUG
RNAcentral lists this ribosomal RNA (467 nucleotides) under uncultured Glomus. RNAcentral's name for it is "SSU rRNA". It matches the Rfam family "Eukaryotic small subunit ribosomal RNA", at positions 569 to 1041 of the family's 1831-position model. The record is from RNAcentral. Lineage: Eukaryota; Fungi; Glomeromycota; Glomeromycetes; Glomerales; Glomeraceae.